Long non-coding RNA from Megalobrama amblycephala (Wuchang bream), 843 nucleotides. RefSeq lists it as uncharacterized. NCBI's taxonomy places the organism in Eukaryota, Metazoa, Chordata, Actinopteri, Cypriniformes, Xenocyprididae. The transcript has 3 exons. The record is from RefSeq and is a predicted model, not a curated record.
CAGUAGGCCUAGGAAGAUUUUCAUCUCAUUUCCUUCUUGAGAGAUUUUUUCCUAGUGUACGGUUGAGACAUGAUUUAAAAGAAGAAGGCUAUCUGAACACAACAAUAGCAUUAUAACUUUCAGGCUUACUUACUUAAGCUAAAAUAAAUCUCAGAAAGGAGAGAAGCCUGCAUCCUUCCUCGACUCUGGUCAAAUCAUCAGACAAUGGAGCAGGCACGUGGAUAUCAGGAACCAAAAAUAGCUUUGGAUUUGAAGAAGCCUCAAGAAUCAAAUGCUGUGGUUCUGGAGAACCUUCCAGAUGUUGAACAAGAUGUUUUGUCUCUUUUGGUGGAGAACAUCACCAGUCUUUCUGAGAACGACUUUACCACGGAAUUAAUACCAGAAUUAAGAAAAGCAGUUGUGACCUUUAAAAAUCCCAGUGGCAAGUUGUUAUUUACAUUUAUUAUUUACAUAAUAUUUAUUUUCACAUAAUAAUGUGACUAAAAACUUAAUUUAGCCUAUAAUCUUGAUUUACAUUAUUCUCUUUUUGGACUAGGGAAAGAGUUAUGAUAUCUGGAAAUUAGAAUAUGUUUACUUGAUGGAUCUAACUUUUGUUGUUGUUGUUGUUGUUGUUGUUAAAUAGGAAAUUGACCUUAAUUAAUCCAUGUUCUGGCUGUCCAUCCAAAUCUGAUUUUUGUGCAUAUCCAAUUGAAAUCCAAUCCGACAGAAGAUGCAGUAGUCCAGCGCGGUGGCUGCAUAUUGUCAUGUGGUAAAAUAAGAAUAACAUCUGUAUUGCAAACCCUUCCAUGAUGUGAUUGUUGUUGUUAUUGUUUUUGGCGUAUACAGUACAGUCCAAAAGUUUGG